GCCAGGCGCGGUGGCAUGUGCCUGUAGUCCCAGCUACUCAGGAGGCUGAGGUGGGAGGAUCGCUUGAGCCCAGGAGUUCUGGGCUGUAGUGCGCUAUGCUGAUCAGGUGUCCGCACUAAGUUCGGCAUCAAUAUGGUGACCUCCCAGGAGCGGGGGUCCACCAGGUUGCCUAAGGAGGGGUGAACCGGCCCACGUCGGAAAUGGAGGAGGUCAAAACUCCUGUGCUGAUCGGUAGUGGGAUCGCGCCUGUGAAUAGCCACUGCACUCCAGCCUGGGCAACAUAGCGAGACCCAAUCUCUU
Unclassified non-coding RNA from Callithrix jacchus (white-tufted-ear marmoset), 300 nucleotides. It matches the Rfam family "Metazoan signal recognition particle RNA". Rfam says of the family: The signal recognition particle (SRP) is a universally conserved ribonucleoprotein. It is involved in the co-translational targeting of proteins to membranes. The record is from Ensembl. Lineage: Eukaryota; Metazoa; Chordata; Mammalia; Primates; Cebidae.